AACCUCACUUUUGAACACGUGAUGAAAAUAAUCAUGUGUUCAAGUAUAUAUUUUAUUAACUUAUUUAUUAAUUAAAUGUUUCAAAAAAAAUUUUAUAUUAAAUUAAAAAUAUUAUAAAAUGUUAUUAUUUAAAUAUUUCUUUAAAAUCUUUUAACUAUUUAUAUGAUGAAAACAAGACUACAUCAUUUUUUAUACAAAAACAUUUAAAAACUUUAUUUACUAACUAAUAUAUUUAUGAAAUUGUCGUCAUGUCAAAACAGUUAUUGAAAUUCUUUCUACGAAAGAUAACAUGUCAGAAAAAUCUUCAAGAAACAAAUUUAUAAUUAAUUUUCGCAUGAUUUAUAUCUGAUGAGGACACGAAAUCGUGUCGAAACGCGUCAUGUGAAAUUUUAUAUAUAUUGAUAAUUAUUAAAAAGCCAAUAGGCCAAAAAAAUU
Molecule: long non-coding RNA, 435 nt
Organism: Leptopilina boulardi
Lineage: Eukaryota; Metazoa; Arthropoda; Insecta; Hymenoptera; Figitidae
Exons: 3
Source: RefSeq, a predicted model, not a curated record